This 264-nucleotide ribosomal RNA is filed under the name Bradyrhizobium sp. UPM1171. Its description in RNAcentral is "partial 16S ribosomal RNA". It matches the Rfam family "Bacterial small subunit ribosomal RNA", at positions 46 to 334 of the family's 1533-position model. The record is from RNAcentral. Lineage: Bacteria; Pseudomonadati; Pseudomonadota; Alphaproteobacteria; Hyphomicrobiales; Nitrobacteraceae.
AGGCUUAACACAUGCAAGUCGAGCGGGCGUAGCAAUACGUCAGCGGCAGACGGGUGAGUAACGCGUGGGAACAUACCUUUUGGUUCGGAACAACACAGGGAAACUUGUGCUAAUACCGGAUAAGCCCUUACGGGGAAAGAUUUAUCGCCGAAAGAUUGGCCCGCGUCUGAUUAGCUAGUUGGUGAGGUAAUGGCUCACCAAGGCGACGAUCAGUAGCUGGUCUGAGAGGAUGAUCAGCCACACUGGGACUGAGACACGGCCCAA